GGCCUUUAACAUGCAGUCGAACGGCAGCGCGAGAGAGCUUGCUCUCUUGGCGGCGAGUGGCCGACGGGUGAGUAAUAUAUCGGAACGUGCCCAGUAGCGGGGGAUAACUACUCGAAAGAGUGGCUAAUACCGCAUACGCCCUACGGGGGAAAGGGGGGGAUCGCAAGACCUCUCACUAUUGGAGCGGCCGAUAUCGGAUUAGCUAGUUGGUGGGGUAAAGGCUCACCAAGGCAACGAUCCGUAGCUGGUUUGAGAGGACGACCAGCCACACUGGGACUGAUACACGGCCCAGACUCCUACGGGAGGCAGCAGUGGGGAAUUUUGGACAAUGGGGGAAACCCUGAUCCAGCCAUCCCGCGUGUAUGAUGAAGGCCUUCGGGUUGUAAAGUACUUUUGGCAGAGAAGAAAAGGUAUCCCCUAAUACGGGAUACUGCUGACGGUAUCUGCAGAAUAAGCACCGGCUAACUACGUGCCAGCAGCCGCGGUAAUACGUAGGGUGCAAGCGUUAAUCGGAAUUACUGGGCGUAAAGCGUGUGUAGGCGGUUCGGAAAGAAAGAUGUGAAAUCCCAGGGCUCAACCUUGGAACUGCAUUUUUAACUGCCGAGCUAGAGUAUGUCAGAGGGGGGUAGAAUUCCACGUGUAGCAGUGAAAUGCGUAGAUAUGUGGAGGAAUACCGAUGGCGAAGGCAGCCCCCUGGGAUAAUACUGACGCUCAGACACGAAAGCGUGGGGAGCAAACAGGAUUAGAUACCCUGGUAGUCCACGCCCUAAACGAUGUCAACUAGCUGUUGGGGCCGUUAGGCCUUAGUAGCGCAGCUAACGCGUGAAGUUGACCGCCUGGGGAGUACGGUCGCAAGAUUAAAACUCAAAGGAAUUGACGGGGACCCGCACAAGCGGUGGAUGAUGUGGGAUUAAUUCGAUGCAACGCGAAAAACCUUACCUACCCUUGACAUGUCUGGAAAGCCGAAGAGAUUUGGCCGUGCUCGCAAGAGAACCGGAACACAGGUGCUGCAUGGCUGUCGUCAGCUCGUGUCGUGAGAUGUUGGGUUAAGUCCCGCAACGAGCGCAACCYUUGUCAUUAGUUGCUACGCAAGAGCACUCUAAUGAGACUGCCGGUGACAAACCGGAGGAAGGUGGGGAUGACGUCAAGUCCUCAUGSCCCUUAUGGSUAGGGCUUCACACGUCAUACAAUGGUCGGGACAGAGGGUCGCCAACCCGCGAGGGGGAGCCAAUCUCAGAAACCCGAUCGUAGUCCGGAUCGCAGUCUGCAACUCGACUGCGUGAAGUCGGAAUCGCUAGUAAUCGCGGAUCAGAAUGUCGCGGUGAAUACGUUCCCGGCUCUUGUACACACCGCCCGUCACACCAUGGGAGUGGGUUUCACCAGAAGUAGGUAGCCUAACCGUAAGGA
RNAcentral lists this ribosomal RNA (1407 nucleotides) under Alcaligenes faecalis. RNAcentral's name for it is "bacterial SSU rRNA". It matches the Rfam family "Bacterial small subunit ribosomal RNA". Lineage: Bacteria; Pseudomonadati; Pseudomonadota; Betaproteobacteria; Burkholderiales; Alcaligenaceae. The record is from RNAcentral.